AUUGAACGCUGGCGGUAUGCUUAACACAUGCAAGUCGAACGGUAACGACAGAGAGCUUGCUCUCUGGGCGACGAGUGGCGGACGGGUGAGUAAUAUAUAGGAACCUUCCUCAUAGUUUGGGAUAAACUACUCGAAAAGAGUGGCUAAAUACCGGAUGUGGACUACGGUUUAAAAGCAAGGGGAUCUUCGGAACCUUGCGCUACGAGAUGGGCCUAUACAAGAUUAGCUAGUUGUGAGGUAAAAUGACUCACCAAAAGGCGAACGAAUC
Molecule: ribosomal RNA, 268 nt
Filed under: uncultured Pseudomonadota bacterium
Lineage: Bacteria; Pseudomonadati; Pseudomonadota
Description: uncultured proteobacterium partial 16S ribosomal RNA
Rfam family: Bacterial small subunit ribosomal RNA
Source: RNAcentral